GGAUCAAUGAUAACUCCCACCUAAACAUUCAUUGGAAAAGCUGAACAAAAUGAGUGAAAACUCACUACUGUCUCACUCAUUGAACUGAGGUCC
Small nucleolar RNA from Loxodonta africana (African savanna elephant), 93 nucleotides. Its record names the gene SNORD116. It matches the Rfam family "Small nucleolar RNA SNORD116". Rfam says of the family: HBII-85 is a member of the C/D class of snoRNAs, which contain the C (UGAUGA) and D (CUGA) box motifs. HBII-85 is encoded in a tandemly repeated array with another C/D snoRNA, HBII-52, in the Prader-Willi syndrome (PWS) region of chromosome 15. NCBI's taxonomy places the organism in Eukaryota, Metazoa, Chordata, Mammalia, Proboscidea, Elephantidae. The record is from Ensembl.